This 484-nucleotide ribosomal RNA is filed under the name uncultured bacterium. RNAcentral describes it as "partial 16S ribosomal RNA". It matches the Rfam family "Bacterial small subunit ribosomal RNA", at positions 28 to 523 of the family's 1533-position model. The record is from RNAcentral.
GACGAACGCUGGCGGCGUGCUUAACACAUGCAAGUCGAACGAUGAAGCUGGAGCUUGCUCUGGCGGAUUAGUGGCGAACGGGUGAGUAACACGUGAGAAAUCUGCCCUUGACUCUGGGAUAACUGCGGGAAACUGUAGCUAAUACCGGAUACUUUCCCUGGUGGGCAUCCACUGGGGAAGAAAGAAUUUCGGUCAAGGAUGAUCUCGCGGCCUAUCAGCUUGUUGGUGAGGUAAUGGCUCACCAAGGCGACGACGGGUAGCCUGCCUGAGAGGGUGACCGGCCACACUGGGACUGAGGCACGGCCCAGACUCCUACGGGAGGCAGCAGUGGGGAAUAUUGCACAAUGGGCGCAAGCCUGAUGCAGCAACGCCGCGUGAGGGAUGAAGGCCUUCGGGUUGUAAACCUCUUUUAGCAGGGAAGAAGCGAAAGUGACGGUACCUGCAGAAAAAGCACCGGCUAACUACGUGCCAGCCGCCGCAGUAA